Molecule: non-coding RNA, 73 nt
Organism: Stegodyphus mimosarum
Lineage: Eukaryota; Metazoa; Arthropoda; Arachnida; Araneae; Eresidae
Source: Rfam
GCCUUCGUGGUGUAGUGGUCAGCACGCUCGACGCGUAACCGAGAGGUCCGUGGUUCGAUUCUCAGCAAGGGCA